AACGCACGAGACCUGCGGACCUGCGGAGGGAUCAUUACCGAGUGAGGGCCCUCUGGGUCCAACCUCCCACCCGUGUUUAUCGUACCUUGUUGCUUCGGCGGGCCCGCCUCACGGCCGCCGGGGGGCACCUGCCCCCGGGCCCGCGCCCGCCGAAGACAUCAUUGAACUCUGUCUGAAGAUUGCAGUCUGAGUAGAUUAGCUAAAUCAGUUAAAACUUUCAACAACGGAUCUCUAGAUCGG
This 240-nucleotide unclassified non-coding RNA is filed under the name soil metagenome. RNAcentral describes it as "partial contains 5.8S ribosomal RNA, internal transcribed spacer 2, and large subunit ribosomal RNA". The record is from RNAcentral.